Molecule: long non-coding RNA, 1147 nt
Filed under: Diabrotica virgifera virgifera (western corn rootworm)
Lineage: Eukaryota; Metazoa; Arthropoda; Insecta; Coleoptera; Chrysomelidae
Description: uncharacterized LOC126879688
Source: RNAcentral
AAUACCCCUAACAACACACAACAUUCCAGGAAUGUACUACCAAAGUUCUAUCAAUAUUUGAAUGUCCUGGACAUUUAGGGAACAUUCGGUGAACAUCUGUUUAAAUUAUUCCUGGAAUGUUACCAUAAGACAUUCUGUGAACAUACUACCAAUGUUCCUAUAUUUUAAGUUGCGAAAUAAUACAUACGUGUAAGAGAUACAACAUUACUUAUAACAUACCAGACAAACUAAGUGACAUUUUAGGCCUACAGUGCAAUAAUAUGUCAAAUUUAAAGAGUUUCCCAAGUUCAAUUAAUACAAUAUUAUAAACAUACAAAUGUAAUAAAAAUUAUUGUUCGCGAAUAUUCAAUUUGGAAUGCGAUUUUGUUAAUAAAAAAAAUACUUAUAACUUAUGCAAAACCCAAGAGAGGCAUUUAUAUUUAUUUCUUUUGCGUUCAUUUUCAAAUUCGCCGUGCAUACAUUUUUGUGCAUGGCGCUUGAGAGGGCAUCACGUGACUAAAAACGACCAACCAACGACCUCGCUUCGGCCAUCUUGGCAUCUUCAUCUGUCAUCUUCAUCUUGGCGACCUUGCCUUGCCGUGGAUUAUUGUUUGUAUUAUUUGUGCUUUUUAAGAAUAUUUUUUUAAUUCGGAUACUUUUAUAAUAGCUUUAAUAGUAUUAUUAACAUAAUGCAUAAAAUGGUGUCCUGUUUUUAACGCCGUUGGAGUAGCAGAAACAAAUGUAGAUAAAAAAAUCUGCAGGAAUAACGUUUCAAUUAUGACAGAAGCUCCAAACAAAUGACUGUGAAUGAAAAGCCCUAUUAAAAGCUUUCCAGAAGAUCCUGCGAAGAAGACAUGAAGUAUAGAUCAGAUUUGUUAAUAGAGGAGUAUGUUCAAAACACUUUUUAGAAAAAGAUAUUGACAGAACUUCACUUUCAUCUGUUCGUUUGAGAGACUGUGCUGUUCCAAUAGCUUAUGUCACACAGAAUCAGCUGAGAGAAGUGGUCUACAAAAAACCAGAAAGGAAAUGGAAUAUGUGGCUACGAAAAGCAAAAGAUAGGUUUACAAAGCAAAUGUGACACAUUUUUUUUAUAAUAUUUAGGAAUGUCAGCAAAUUACAUUAAAAAAUGUAUGUAAAGAUUUUUUGCAAUAAAAAUGUUUUAUAUUUA